CGCGGGGACAGUCGGGCCUGGGGGCGGGGACGUCCGUGACCUUCUGUCGCGUUGUCAAGGGCGAUGGGCCUUGCGUGCUUGGCUGUCCCAGGCCCUCGCCCACCUACGGGGCCUCAGUUUGUGCAUCCCAGUCAGAAAGCAGAAGUGAUGCAAAGAUGGCCAGAUCAGUGAAAGGCGGCUUAAAUCUCCAAUGGAACACUAUGCCAAUGCAGGAAGUCUGACCUACUGCCACAGCACGGAUGAACCUUGAGGGCUUCAUGCUGUGUGAGAGAAGCCAGCCACAGAAAGACAAAUACUGUGAGGUGCACUAACAGAAGCACGAACUUCUGGACAAGUGUCUACCUUCUUUCCCCUCACUGGACAACAUCCUUGGAACUCCUAGCAGAGGACAGGCUUGGGGUUGUAGGUGUUUCUUGGCCUGCAUAGGUCCCAGGGUUGAUGGGAUUUUCUCCCAAUUUCAUGGACCCUCUUAAAGGUCUCGUACAGCAGGAAUUGAACGCUGUGUGUGUGCACUAGGGCUGCUGGAUAUGGGCAUCAUUUCUUUUUCUCUGAUGCCACAGUAAACUGGGGGCACCAGAUACAGGCAGGCUGAGUAUCAGAGUAUCGUCCUCUGUAGGGACUUGGUUUCCACGGUCUGUGAAAUUUUAGGAAUUAUGAUGUAGUGCCGCCCAACUCCACAUUGGAGUAGGGAGGGGAGGCAGGUGUGGAGGAUGUUUUUCACAGCUGGGGGCUGCUCCUUUUGAGCACGGGUAGGGUAUGGCUGCGGCUGGGAGGCCCAGGUCUGCCCCUGGCUGCUGGUCACUGCAUCUGCUCCCCUCUUUAUAGCCAGGGCAAAGGAAUUAGUAAUACAUUUAAACAGCACUUGUUUCCACAUGCAACUCUUGUAUUCAGACAGGAAAACAGAGUUUAGGGAGCUCGCUCUAGGCCGAGGUGGGAGAUGGACUCUGUUCCUCAACCUCAGAGAUGCCUCUGGCCCUCACUUCCUUGGGCCUGACUGCCCACUCCUGUUUGCCUAAUCGUCUCAUCCUGCACCAGUUCCUUAGUCAAGGUGUCCACGCAGUUAACGCCCUUUGAAUUUUUCCAUUUACUGGGGUAACCUCACAGUGGUAUCAUAGCCAAUACAUCCUAGUAAACCUUCCAUAGAAGGGCAUAAGCACGUUGAAAGCACCACUUCCUUCCCCAUCUACUCAAAGUUCCACAGUCUUGCCUUUGCUACAUUCACUGGAGCAUCUCACUCUUGACUGGGCACAAUGAAACUAUACCGAGUAAUGAGUGGAAUGAACACAGAACAUUCUGGGCGCAGUAGCCUUUCUCCCCACGCCUACACACUCCUGUGCAUCUACUAGCCCAGGCAGUGGCUGUAGCGCCCACUUCUGGCAAGGCACCAUCUUUGCAUGCAGUACUUCCUGGUGGCAUGCUGGCUACCAGCCAGCACUCAGCAGCUGCAUGGAAAGACUCUCCAUUUUCAUAGUGGCGUGUUUUCCCAUGCAGUGCAAACAGCACAUUUCUGCUUAAAUGAGAUCUCGUGUUCCAUUUUCUAACGAUCAAAAGGAGAAAGUUACAUGCCUCAGCCUGAGUUCUCAGAAGCAUUAGCCACCCCACCCUGUUCUCCAGAAGCUGCACCCUGUGUGACAUGCUCAGUUCUCAGAAGCAUCAUCAAACACAUGCAGCGGAUGAACUCAACCAGCCCCUUCAGUCUUAACGUGACUGCCUGCUACGCCAAUUCUCAGGGUUGUUAGCCAGCCGGAACCAUCUUUGAAUCCAAGCAGUUUUACCAGCUUUUAUUAUAAACACCAGCACAUUUCACGAUUCCUUUUUGAUCACAAAUAUAGGACUUUUUUCUUCUCCUCUCAAGUGUACAGCAUGAGACACAGCGUUAGGGCUUUCCGGCUCUUACAGAAAUUUCUUUAAUCUAAGUGCAG
Molecule: non-coding RNA, 1922 nt
Organism: Manis javanica (Malayan pangolin)
Lineage: Eukaryota; Metazoa; Chordata; Mammalia; Pholidota; Manidae
Source: RefSeq, a predicted model, not a curated record